AGCGAACGCUGGCGGCAGGCCUAACACAUGCAAGUCGAACGAACUCUUCGGAGUUAGUGGCGGACGGGUGAGUAACACGUGGGAACGUGCCUUUAGGUUCGGAAUAACUCAGGGAAACUUGUGCUAAUACCGAAUGUGCCCUUCGGGGGAAAGAUUUAUCGCCUUUAGAGCGGCCCGCGUCUGAUUAGCUAGUUGGUGAGGUAAAGGCUCACCAAGGCGACGAUCAGUAGCUGGUCUGAGAGGAUGAUCAGCCACAUUGGGACUGAGACACGGCCCAAACCCCUACGGGAGGCAGCAGUGGGGAAUCUUGCGCAAUGGGCGAAAGCCUGACGCAGCCAUGCCGCGUGAAUGAUGAAGGUCUUAGGAUUGUAAAAUUCUUUCACCGGGGACGAUAAUGACGGUACCCGAAGAAGAAGCCCCGGCUAACUUCGUG
This 433-nucleotide ribosomal RNA is filed under the name uncultured bacterium. Its description in RNAcentral is "partial 16S ribosomal RNA". It matches the Rfam family "Bacterial small subunit ribosomal RNA", at positions 29 to 507 of the family's 1533-position model. The record is from RNAcentral.